Molecule: non-coding RNA, 72 nt
Organism: Camponotus floridanus (Florida carpenter ant)
Lineage: Eukaryota; Metazoa; Arthropoda; Insecta; Hymenoptera; Formicidae
Source: Rfam
GGCUGAAUAGCUCAGUGGUAAGAACAGUCGCUCGGCAAGCGAAAGACUCGGGUUCGAUUCGCGAUUCAGCGA